GGUGCCUGCGGAGGGAUCAUUACACAAAUACAAUAUGAAGGCUUCGGCUGGAUUAUUUAUUUCACCCUUGUCUUUUGCGCACUUGUUGUUUCCUGGGCGGGUUCGCCCGCCACCAGGACCACACCAUAAACCUUUUUUGUUAAUGCAGUCAGCGUCAGUACAACAAAUGUAAAUCAUUUACAACUUUCAACAACGGAUCUCUUGGUUCUGGCAUCGAUGAAGAACGCAGCGAAAUGCGAUACGUAGUGUGAAUUGCAGAAUUCAGUGAAUCAUCGAAUCUUUGAACGCACAUUGCGCCCUUUGGUAUUCCAAAGGGCAUGCCUGUUCGAGCGUCAUUUGUACCCUCAAGCUUUGCUUGGUGUUGGGCGUUUUGUCUUUGCUCGCCAAAGACUCGCCUUAAAACGAUUGGCAGCCGACCUCUUGGUUUCGCAGCGCAGCACAAUUUUGCGCUUGCAAAUCAGCAAGUUGGCACUCCAUCAAGAACAUUUUCUUACGUUUGACCUCGGAUCAGGUAGGGAUACCCGCUGAACUUAAGCAUA
This 539-nucleotide ribosomal RNA is filed under the name Curvularia lunata. RNAcentral describes it as "eukaryotic LSU rRNA". The stretch from base 182 to 335 matches the Rfam family "5.8S ribosomal RNA". The record is from RNAcentral. Lineage: Eukaryota; Fungi; Ascomycota; Dothideomycetes; Pleosporales; Pleosporaceae.